AGUGAACGCUGGCGGUAGGCCUAACACAUGCAAGUCGAACGUCAGCACAGUAAGAGCUUGCUCUUACGGGUGGCGAGUGGCGGACGGGUGAGGAAUACAUCGGAAUCUACUUUUUCGUGGGGGAUAACGUAGGGAAACUUACGCUAAUACCGCAUACGACCUACGGGUGAAAGCAGGGGAUCUUCGGACCUUGCGCGAUUGAAUGAGCCGAUGUCGGAUUAGCUAGUUGGCGGGGUGAAGGCCCACCAAGGCGACGAUCCGUAGCUGGUCUGAGAGGAUGAUCAGCCACACUGGAACUGAGACACGGUCCAGACUCCUACGGGAGGCAGCAGUGGGGAAUAUUGGACAAUGGGCGCAAGCCUGAUCCAGCCAUACCGCGUGGGUGAAGAAGGCCUUCGGGUUGUAAAGCCCUUUUGUUGGGAAAGAAAAGCAGCAGGUUAAUACCCCGCUGUUCUGACGGUACCCAAAGAAUAAGCACCGGCUAACUUCGUG
RNAcentral lists this ribosomal RNA (492 nucleotides) under uncultured bacterium. RNAcentral describes it as "partial 16S ribosomal RNA". It matches the Rfam family "Bacterial small subunit ribosomal RNA", at positions 29 to 507 of the family's 1533-position model. The record is from RNAcentral.